This 301-nucleotide ribosomal RNA is filed under the name uncultured bacterium. RNAcentral describes it as "partial 16S ribosomal RNA". It matches the Rfam family "Bacterial small subunit ribosomal RNA", at positions 509 to 809 of the family's 1533-position model. The record is from RNAcentral.
CAGCCGCCGCGGUAAUACGGAGGGUGCGAGCGUUGUCCGGAUUUAUUGGGUUUAAAGGGUGCGUAGGCGGCCCGUUAAGUCCGGGGUGAAAGCCCGCUGCUCAACAGCGGAACUGCCCUGGAUACUGACGGGCUUGAGUACAGACGAGGUUGGCGGAAUGGACUGAGUAGCGGUGAAAUGCAUAGAUACAGUCCAGAACCCCGAUUGCGAAGGCAGCUGACUAGGCUGUUACUGACGCUGAGGCACGAAAGCGUGGGGAGCGAACAGGAUUAGAUACCCGCGUAGUCCCUGUCUCUUAUAU